Molecule: transfer RNA, 72 nt
Filed under: Cavia porcellus (domestic guinea pig)
Lineage: Eukaryota; Metazoa; Chordata; Mammalia; Rodentia; Caviidae
Rfam family: tRNA
About the family: Transfer RNA (tRNA) molecules are approximately 80 nucleotides in length. Their secondary structure includes four short double-helical elements and three loops (D, anti-codon, and T loops).
Source: Rfam by way of RNAcentral
GGGGAUAUAGCUCAGAGCAUGAGUGCCUGCCUAGCAAGUGCAAGGUCCUGAGUUUGAUUCUCAGUACCCCCC